GCGCAAAUAAAAAUGCCCUAAUAUUUUAUAAGAAAUUACAAGGCUUACAAAUUCACAAGAUAAAAAGUUGCUUAGGCAUAGGUUAUGCCCGAUAGGGCAAAAAUUUAGUUAUUUUAGGACAUUAUAUGUUAAGAUUAGAAGUGCAAGGCCCGUGUCAGUACGGGCCCAAUAAUAAAACAUGUGGAUUGCAAUUUUUAAGUUUUAGAAUUUAUCUUGGAGUAGAAAGUUUGAAUAGUAAAAUAUUUUAAUUAGGACGAUUGAGUUCAAGGGAACAAGAUUGUAGCACACACAUUUUAUAUAUAUACACACACAUAUAUAUACAUAUAUAUGUGUGAACAUUAAGGAGCCAUGUUUUGGAAAACGAUACUGUACAUAUAAUUUACAUAGAUACAAAAAAAGAGUUGAUGCAUCCUCAGGUUGGGCUUUGCAAAUGUAUGACUUAGACCUGUUGCAUGAAAGAAUACAAACUAAUUAUUGGAAGUUUAUGAUGAACAUGAAAAGAAAUUUAGGAAAAAUAAAAACAAAUAUUGGCCAUCGGUUGAUCAAUUCGACAGAAAGCAGCUAUUGCAUAGGUUGCUACAACAUUUUUACAUAUGUGAGAAAAAAGGAUUCAAAGAACUGAAGAAUUGACCCAUACAUGAUAGUGAAGUUAGCAAAUCAGAAAUUGUCACAUACUCUUAAUUUACAGAUACCUAGAACGGACCUUCACAAGGUUUUUAAUGUGUACACAGACCUUACCUUUUCCUUAAAAAGUAUGAGAGGUUGUUUCCGUUAGAAUGGCUCCAAACAUAUGGAAAAAAUGAGAACAACCAUAAGCAGUAAGAACAACAUGAAAAUAUAGUAAUGGAGGCUACUUUACAAAGUUACUUUGUCAUAGAAAUUUAAAAAUGCUUUUGGUUCUAAAUAUAGGAGAAAUAUAUAACCAAAUUCCGCAGCAGAAAUCCAAUUUUCAGAAAACAAAGUUCCCAACACCAAAAACAUGAAACUACUGUUAGAGAAAAUAUUUUUUAAGGUGGUGAAUAUUUUUUUAAGCCAAACAUUUAUUUUAUGCUAUAUCAUAGUUUUUUUUAUAACUUAGUACCUAAACAACAAAGAACAACUCACAAUUUUCAAAUCGAUGGAAUUUUUCACAGCACAAACUCUAAUUCCACCAACGCGGGACACAACCCACAAUUUCCGAAUAGAUUGGUACCUUUGAAAAUCAAGGUAACGUACCCCUAUUAUCUACUAACCUUCUAUCUCUAAUAUACAAUCUUCACACCUUCUUAUUUAUUUUUGAAGUUUAUAAAUAAUGAUUAUACAUAUUCUAGCAUUCCCUUUUUUUCGUGUAAGGAACAGGCAUGUAUUUUGACAUUUGUAGCUACUCUAGGUAAAUUUCCGUACUAAUCUACUGCUCUAUGUUUCACAUAAAAAUUCCUUAAAGUUAUUUUACUGAAAAACACAAAUAAUUUCUAGACCAAGUAAACAGAGAUUAUGGACCAUAACCUAAACAAAAAAAGACAUGCUGGGAUCAUUUCAUCCAAUAUGAUCAAGUAAGCAUGACAAAAUGAAAGAAAAUAUUUAUAUAUAGACAAUACAUAUUAGUUGAGAAUUUAUUUUAGAUGUUAGCAGAUUUUGAAAAUAAUCGACUCAAAUAGACGUUCAUCAUAACCUUUCACUUUAAUGGAAUACAAUGAUCAGCACAUGACAAGUUGUUCACAUCAUUAGACUUGUCAGGGGAAAGAGAGCAUAAACACAACUUCAUUUAAAGUGUCAUAAAGGGAUGUAGCUAGCUCGAUUGUAUCACAUAUUUAACAUGGCAACAUUCUUCGCAUAGGAUUAUCCCCCCGAGUAAGUUUGGGACUUUAGGAGAAGGAAAUUUAGAGAUACACACCAACUUUAGCUCAUAAGAAUCUUAUUACCAGAUGUAAACCAAUAGGACUGAGUAGCAAAAAGUCAUAUUAAAUGUGCACGUUAAGAAGGAAGGCACGAGUAAGUUUUGAAGCGGAGAAUGAUGAUAGUCACGCGGCUCCUGAAGGUGUGUGUUAGAGGUUUAUAUAUUCGAUAUGAAUAAAAUGUGAUAGUUCUGUUUAAAAAAAUAAGAAAAUGAGCAGGAGUCGGACUGAAGCUGAGAAUGAAAGCAAUUUACGUAAUAUUAUAAUUAUGUGAAAUUUGAAUGUUUAGGGAGUUAGAAGGUAUUGACAGGAUUCUGAGCCACCUUGCGCUAACUUCAGACAAUGCACCAACACAAGUACUGAUAACACCAAUGUAUAGUGUUUUUCCCCUCCACUUGAAUUUGAAUCUUCCAAAAGAACAGAGUCAUUCAAUNNNNNNNNNNNNNNNNNNNNNNNNNNNNNNNNNNNNNNNNNNNNNNNNNNNNNNNGAUAAUUAGUUUUGAGAUUAGUUAUCUCGAAAUUAGUAUAUGGGAUAACUUAUUCCAUCACUAUAGUGUAAAUGGUGGGAUAAUUAUUUUCGGUACCAAUCCGUAUGGAAGUUCUUACUUUGAAAACUGUCUUUGUUUUGCUGGGUGCAAUUUCUACAGUUCACGUUCAACUUUAUGGCAGAGCAUAUCAUGAGUUUACAACCUGAAAAUUCAGAGCCAGAGCAGCUAAAAAAAGAAUACAUCACAUUUAUGAAAGGAGUGGUUUCUACUCCAUUGAAUUUUCCAGGAACAACUUAUAGAAAGGCCUUACAGGUACUAUUAUGUAAAAGCAGGAAGUGUUUAUAAUUUUUCUUGGAAGGUAUUGGUAAGGAUUUGAAAUGGAAUAGUAUAGAUUCAUACAGAAAAAAAGGUUCUUUAUUGACUCAAAACACUAUACCUAUCAAUUCAUGACUUGAAUUUAAGUUUAAUUUCUCUAUUUUGUUAUAGUCUCGAUCGAUAAUUCUUGGAUUCAUUGAGAGAAAAAUGGAAGAGAGGCUUAAGGAAAUGAAAGGAAACGAAAACGACCUACUUGGGUGGGUUCUGAAGAAUUCAAAUCUUUUAAAAGAGCAAAUUCUUGAUUUGCUACUAAGUUUGCUCUUUGCUGGACAUGAAACAUCAUCAGUAGCCAUAGCUUGAUAGUCAAAAUGCAGGGAUUCACAAUUCUUAAUAGAUUGUUUUUUUUACAGCACAAACGCAAAUUUCACUAUUUUGGAGAAAUCCCAGUUCUGUAAAAUAAUACCAAUCCUAAUUUAACCAAUCAUAAUUUAACCAAUCACUAUUCCGUCAUCAGGUUCUAUGUAGAAAUGGUCCUUGGUUAGUUGGUUUCUAGUCAAGUGAUGCCCAAAUGCUCAUUUUUAGUUGGUUCUCUGGAUUGUUGAUUGAAUUUUAAAGUCUAUUUAGUUAAAGUCAAUUCCAUGAACCACCCUCCCCUCCCUGCGCUAAAAAGGGAAAAAUAUUUUUUUAAAAACUUUUUUCUUAUAAGAAAUAACAAACAAGAAUUAAAUAAUGAAUUCAUUUACAUUGACAAAACAAUCAUGAAAAUGAAGGUGAGCAAGACUGCAAAGUUUGUUGAAUUACGUUUUGAACAUUACUUAAAUAUUUGAACACGUACUUAAGUAAAAAUUAGCACUUAACUGGAUGUUUGAUUCACACAAACUAAAAGAUCAUAUAAAAAAUUGUUAACUACUAAAGUUUAAUUUGAACUAAUUUGAGAUUUACUCUUUCUUUAAACUAUUACAGAACCGCCAUAAAAAAGUUAUUGAAUAUUCUCAGACAUACUGUCAAGUACCUUUGUUGCACAAAGUUUUCACCUUUCGUAAUCAUUUAUUUUUUUUAAAAGAAAUGAACACCCAAAAUUUUUCCCAAUCACUUUUUGUUUACACUCCACACUCAUAUUCAGCUCAACUACAUUUCACUGAUACAUAUAGUACCAACAAAUCCAAGAAAAAAACUAAACCACAUAAUUAAUUUUAAUUUCAACCAAAAAGAAACUUUUUUCUUCUUAUCUUUUACAAGAUUUAUACAUAAAUCACAACAUGAAAGCUGCAAAACCAUUUGAAUGAAUUGAAAUCAAAGAGUAGAUCAAGAAAAAUUCAUAACAAAUUAACUUCACAACAGAUUCACUUUAUUAGAUCCAGAAAUAUAUUUGUUCAAACAUACCUGACAUAAUCGGAAUUGAGAUUUUUCCAUUACCCAAGAGAUAUGGAGAGAAUAUCACAAGAGUUGAGUUUUUUUUUUUUAACAGAGCAUAUAAACGAUAAUAUUGAAGACUGGAAUGGUAGACGUAUA
RNAcentral lists this long non-coding RNA (4189 nucleotides) under Capsicum annuum. RNAcentral describes it as "long non-coding RNA (CANN_LNC013264)". The record is from RNAcentral. Lineage: Eukaryota; Viridiplantae; Streptophyta; Magnoliopsida; Solanales; Solanaceae.